GUACUCGCUUCUGCGGUACGUAUACUAAAAUUGGAACGAUACAGAGAAGGUUAGCAUGGCCCCCGCGCAAGGAUGACACGCAAAAUCGUGAAGCGUUCCACAUUUUU
RNAcentral lists this small nuclear RNA (107 nucleotides) under Diabrotica virgifera virgifera (western corn rootworm). Lineage: Eukaryota; Metazoa; Arthropoda; Insecta; Coleoptera; Chrysomelidae. The record is from RNAcentral.